Molecule: ribosomal RNA, 461 nt
Filed under: uncultured bacterium
Lineage: Bacteria
Description: bacterial SSU rRNA
Rfam family: Bacterial small subunit ribosomal RNA
Source: RNAcentral
GACGAACGCUGGCGGCGUGCCUAACACAUGCAAGUCGAGCGAGAAUACCUUCGGGUAUUCUAGCGGCGGACGGGUGAGUAACACGUGGGUAACCUGCCUUACACAGGGGGAUAGCCUUCCGAAAGGAAGAUUAAUACCGCAUAAGAAGUAAUUAUCGCAUGAUAGUAGCUUUAAAGGAGAAAUCCGGUGUAAGAUGGACCCGCGGCGCAUUAGCUAGUUGGUGAGGUAACGGCUUACCAAGGCGACGACGGGUAGCCGGUCUGAGAGGACGAUCGGCCACACUGGGACUGAGAUACGGCCCAGACUCCUACGGGAGGCAGCAGUUGGGAAUCUUAGGCAAUGGGCGAAAGCCUGACCUAGCGACGCCGCGUGAGGGAAGAAGGGCCUUCGGGUCGUAAACCUCUGUCAUGGGGGACGAAGAAAGUGACGGUACCCCAGGAGAAGCCCCUGCUAACUACGUG